This 700-nucleotide long non-coding RNA is filed under the name Pan troglodytes (chimpanzee). Its description in RNAcentral is "long non-coding RNA NONPTRT007445". The record is from RNAcentral. Lineage: Eukaryota; Metazoa; Chordata; Mammalia; Primates; Hominidae.
CAACACCCCAGCCAGAGAGACGGCAGCCACCCCAGAGACGACAUUCCAUUGAAAAGGAAACGCCUACUAACGUGAGGCAGUUCCUGCCGCCUUCCAGGCAGAGUUCCCGCUCUCUUGUUCCUAGGAUAACCAGUGUAUGGCCAAGGACGCCUUUUCGACCACUUUUUUCUACCAUACAAACAGCUUCUCUGCUCAGCUCUCAUCCUUUUGAAGCAGCCAUGUUUGGGGUAGCAGGGGCUAUGUAUUAUCUGUGUGAGAGAGCUUUUACCAGCAGGUGGAAAUCCUCAAAGGAGGAAUUCUGCUACCCAGUGGAAUGCCUCGCUCUUACUGUGGAAGAAGUGAUGCAUAUUCGCCAGGUCCUGGUGAAGGCAGAGCUGGAAAAAUACCAACAGUAUAAAGACAUCUACACCGCCUUGAAAAAAGGAAAGGUAGUGCUGUUUAAAGUUGAUUGAUCAGAAGAGUAGAAGGAUGGCCAGUCCCAUGCAUAGUCUCCUGGGAGAGUUAUCUGCUAGCCAGGUGGCACAGACUUUGAGGGGAUUUGGGAUGUGUGAUGUUCAUAUCCUAGUAGACAGUACAUGUGCUGUCUCGUUCACAAGAGGGGGCAUUUUUGUUUCUGCCUUAGAAAUCAAAACUGGAAGGUUUUCAAGCAACCAUAACAAAUAUCGAUAUGUCUUCCUAAAACCAUGCAUGUGGCCAGGCA